This 3044-nucleotide long non-coding RNA is filed under the name Nicotiana tabacum (common tobacco). RNAcentral describes it as "long non-coding RNA (NTAB_LNC009914)". Lineage: Eukaryota; Viridiplantae; Streptophyta; Magnoliopsida; Solanales; Solanaceae. The record is from RNAcentral.
UGAUAGAGAAAGUACUCUUUGCUAGGUAGCCAGUUGCGCCAGUGAUGAAAAUGGUCUUGCCCUCCAGAAACUGAUUAAUGCAGCUCGAUUCCAUGUCCAUUGGAAGUGAGGAAAUUUAUGGAGGUUAAAUCUUUAUGCAAAAGAUAAUAUCACCUGGAGUUUUAGUUAUUCAACCAGACUGCAAGCUAAGCUAUCUAUUCAGCAACAAAUUUUAGCCCUGUCCAAAUAUAUUAAUUACCAGAUGGCACAUUAUAUAAGGACACAUGAAACAUUUCAAGCAUUAAUUAAGUAUGAAAGAUAUCUAAUUCCACAUGGUGCAAAUGAAGUUUCCAAAUUUGGUGGAGAUAUUAUUGAUCAAGAAAUUAGUGCUGUGAAUGUGAUUCAUGAGCUGUUGCAAUCUUUGGAAGAAAAGAGACGUAAGGAGGCGAUGACAUCUUUUAGUAAAUAAAAAAGGCAGUCCAGUGCACUAAUCUCCCGCUAUGCGUGAGGUCCGGAGAAGUGUCGGACCACAAAGGUCUAUUGUAUGCGAUCUUACCUUAUAUUUCUACCAGAGGCUGUUUCUACGGACCUCCUGGUCACAUGGCAGCAACUUUUUAAAUAGAUUUGCUAGAAUUAUGAAAAGAUGUUUUCAAUAGACACAUUAUCAACAACAUAAGGUACUCUAUAGGUCAGAUUUCUAGUUUAGGUGUUUAAAUGAAAAAUCAUAACAACUUUAAGGGGUUGUCCAUGUAUUAUGCCUUAAAUAAUAGUGCUCUAAUUAUAAAGUGAUUAUUUACAUUUUACAUGUCUUUUACAAUUUUAUAAUUUAACACUUAAACAAUACUUUUCUAAAAUAAUUUGGCCAAAUAAAAUAUAAGCUAAUCUCCUAAAGUACCUUCUUUUGGAACUUUGUGAGUAAAUUUUAUGGAUGGUCAUUUAGCUUUGUGUUCAUUACCCUAAAGUCAUUUUUUUUUGAUUACAUAAAAGUCAUUCAACCUUGUGUUCAUUACCCAAAAGUCACUUUUCUUUCUUAUGUUACACAAAAAUUAUUUUAUUAUGCUCUAGUUAUCACAAUAAUCACUUUGACCAUAUUUUAUAAAACUUUCACCUAUGCCAUUGGCUUUAUAAAUCCUCCCAUUAUGUAAUACCUUAUAUAUUAUAUACUAUAUAAUAUAUUUUUACCUAGAUAUUUUACUUAUAGUUAAAAUGGCUUUAUAUUAUUUUAUUAUUAUUUUAUAAUAAAUUCGUACAUUUAAUUUUGUCGUAGAAUAUUCAAACAUGAACAUAUAUUGAAGCAUAAAAACGACAAAAAAUAUUUAUUUUUAAUAUUUAUUUGAAAUAAUAAGAACGGAUUUAGUUAACAAAUGAUAGUAUUUUAUAGUUAGUAAAACUUUCAAAAAAAUUCAAGAUAUUUGUGCUUAAUAUUAAGUCUUUUAAAGCUUUUAUCUGUUAAUAUUAUUUUUAAAAAUAUUAAUUUGAUGUGUCAGUGUGCUAAAUGUGGAUAUUUUCUUCAUUUGAUUAACGAAUAUAGCUUGACUGAUAAAUCUGUGAGAUUUAAUUUUAUAAAUUUUGUUUAAAAUAUUUUAUUAGGUAUGGUUAAGAAUAUUGACGUGAGAUUUAUUUAUAGUAAUAUUACUAACAAAUUUAAUAAUCCUACCUCUAUAUCUUGAAAAUUAACGUUAAGAAAAAAUUAAAUGUCAAAUAUAUUAUAAAAAUAAUAAAUCAUAUAAUAUUAAGUUAUUUUAAUUAUAAGUAAAAUAUUUAGGUAAAAAUAUAUUAUACAGUAUAUAUAAUAUAAAAGGUAUUACAUAAAUCGGAGCAUUUAUAAUGUCAAGGGUAUAAUGGACUUUUCAGGUAAAAGUUGUAUAAAUCAAAGUGACUAUUGUGAUAACUAGAGCAUAGUAAAAUAAUUUUUGUGUAACAAAAGAAAGAAAAAUAACUUUUGGGUAAUGAACACAAAGUUGAAUGACUUUUAUGUAACAAAAAAAGAAAAAUGACUUUAGAGUAAUGAACACAAAGUUGAAUGACCACCCACAAAAUUUACUCGAACUUUGUUUGACAAAAAUUUGCUAAAAAUAUCUACUAUUUUAUGGAAAGAAAAAUAGUAGAAAAUCAAGGAAGGAAUAUUUUCUAAAGCUGAGUAUGAAAAAAUGGGUGUACUAUAAUAAUAAAGAAGAAUAUGGUCGAUCGCCUGUGAAAAAAGAAGAUGGAGGGAAGAAAAAACUUAAUUUUCAAAAUAGUAAAAACAUUAACUUAAUAUGAGAUAACCUAAGGCAAUAAAACAGAACUCUCUACGUUCAAAAUUUUUAAUCUACAUACAUCUCAACAAAAUAAACUCAUCACUUAUAAUGGAUAAAAAAUUCAACAAAAAUUAAAUCUCAAUAUCUCAUGAGAUGAAAAGUACUGCAUGCAUGUGCCCACGUAAUAAAUUUAUGUAAACCAAGUGGGAUUCUUUCAACAAAGCUCUCUUUUAUUCUUUCUAACUAAUAUAUAAUUGCAAAGUUCCUAAAAAGCUUACUACUACAUUAUUAAAUCCGCUCAGAUUACAUUAUCAACCUUGUGAAAAUUUAUUAGAGUGCAAAACUUCACAAACGAACCCCAUGUUAAGCUUAAACCAGCGUCCUAAUUUUAUUUUAUUUUUUUUCAUUUCAAAAGAAAUGCUAAUUUUAAAGGACAACAUAGUGCACAAUGCAUCCCGCAAGCGCCGCACCCCAAAGGAUGUGAUGUAGACAGCAUACUCUAAUGCAAGGAUUAGUAGCUAUAUCCACGGCUCGAACCCGUGACCUAUAGUUUGUCACUUCAAAAAUUAAAAUAAAAAAUUUGUUUUAAACCAGCAAAACUUAAGAAUCAAAAUGAGUUCAAAUCAGAACAAGGAAACAAGAAUGAACCUUUAACUUAACGAUAUAUGAAGUUAGACACUUUGCGAAAGAUGCCAAGAAUCUCAACGCGGGAAGCUUUUUUUUUUUGUGUGGGGUUUAGAUCCGAAAUAUCCUCAGACUUAAAUAGGGAGCAAGGAAGAAAGACAACCAUUGAUCAAAAAUAUUAAUUUCAUGGCUAUCCUUCAC